This 253-nucleotide ribosomal RNA is filed under the name uncultured bacterium. RNAcentral describes it as "partial 16S ribosomal RNA". It matches the Rfam family "Bacterial small subunit ribosomal RNA", at positions 524 to 776 of the family's 1533-position model. The record is from RNAcentral.
UACGUAGGGACCAAGCGUUGUUCGGAUUUACUGGGCGUAAAGGGCGCGUAGGCGGCGUGUCAAGUCAUUUGUGAAAUCUCCGAGCUUAACUCGGAACGGUCAAAUGAUACUGAUGUGCUAGAGUGCAGAAGGGGCAAUCGGAAUUCUUGGUGUAGCGGUGAAAUGCGUAGAUAUCAAGAGGAACACCUGAGGUGAAGACGGGUUGCUGGGCUGACACUGACGCUGAGGCGCGAAAGCUAGGGUAGCAAACAGG